CCAAAAGAUUGGAAAGCAAAAAUGAUAGCGGUACAAGAAGCAAAAGUUCUCUCAAAGCUGUCCAUAGAAGAGUUAAUGGGUUUAGUCAUAACACAUGAGUUGAAGUUGCACCAAAAAGAAGAAGAAGAAGAGCUUAAAAAGAAGAAAACCAUUGCUUUCAAGUCCGCCAAAUUUGAUGGAAGUGAUGAGUAGGAUGAUGGUGAUGAAGAAGAGAGUGAGGAUGAUGAGGACAUGGUACUACUCUCAAAAAAAGUUAAAAAGUUCCUCAUGAAGAAAUGCUUGAAGGAGAAAGAAAAUGAAGAA
This 303-nucleotide long non-coding RNA is filed under the name Elaeis guineensis (African oil palm). Its description in RNAcentral is "long non-coding RNA (EGUI_LNC058427)". Lineage: Eukaryota; Viridiplantae; Streptophyta; Magnoliopsida; Arecales; Arecaceae. The record is from RNAcentral.